AGUCUCAAAACAGUAUGAUAGAUUUUGGCAAAUGAGGCUUCUGUGUUUGUAUGCAAAUCUAAUUACUACAUAAUUAUUCAUUAUGCCAAUUUUCGUCAUCAGUGAAGCCUGUUUGCCAUAUACCAGGUCAUUAAUGAAUUGUCUGAUAAUCAAAUUUAAGUUGAUUUUAACUGUUUGUUCUAAAUUCCUGGGGAUUAGAAGGCUGGGAUGUUUUAGUACUAUUGGGCAGCACUGAAAAUCCACCCACUAAAUAGUGCUUGGUAUGUUUCUUUAGUUACUCCUGACAGUUCAAGCUUGUUCUUAUUAAUUUUGCACUGAGAUAACUGUCUGAACUUUUCAGUGUAUCCUAAUAAUUUUGUGUACAGGUCUUUCCAAAUCACUUUAAACCGGAGUAAAACAGAGCAAUCUGAAUCCUACCUAAGUUUUAAUGCUUAUGUAAAAUUUCUCUGGGCACUGAGAGGGAACCCUGCUUAUUUUAUCCUAUGCAGCAAGCAUUUAUGUGUGAGCUUAGCUUCAGCACAUGAAGGAUUGUACUGGAACUGGUGCACUGAUGCCUAAACCUCAGACUAUGUAGCUAGACUGCCUGAGUCAAACCUCAGUUUCCUCAGGGCAAGGCCCUUAGUCAUUCUUGCUGGGACACUUAAGAAGGAAACAUUUACUAUUGCCCAUUUUUCCUCCAAGUCUGGUUUGCAGCCUGCAGAAAUUGCAGCUCAGAAGUGUUUUGAUAGGAGGCACCAUGUUCUCUGGGCCCUGCCCAGGUUAGGAACAUUGCCACAGCAGAAGCAGAGAUGUCCAAGCUCCACUAUUUACAGGGCUAUCUGGGCUAGCUUUUGGGCAUGAGCUGUUCAACUGGCCAACUUCCAAAAAAGCUCCUCCACAGCCUGUGCCCUCUUUGCCACUCCUAGGGGCUGUGGGAUGCUCUGGAAGUGGUGGAGCGUGGUCAUUCACAGGAGAGAUGAGGGGAAACUGCACCAUCUGCACUGCCACCAGCCCUCAUUCUGAGCCAUUCUGAGACUGUGCCAUUUCAAAUCCAUGGGCUGUUGCUACAGCAGCCUGUCAGACCUUUGAGCCAAAGAUUUCCUUAAGGAAAGGACAAGGUUUUAGUCAAUGCCAAGUAUACCCAAGACUUUCUGUCCCCCUUACAGAGCAUCAACUGUUUUAGCCACUCAGCACACGGUUUGCCCUGCUCCUGCUUGUCCACAGAGACAGAAAUGGUUCUAGUGAUACCCUGCUCACCAGUCCCCUUUGCCAGGGAGGGAGGAAACUCCUCCAAAAGUGGUGCAAGCUGCACCUCUCAGGCAAGUCACCUGCUCAAAAAGGUGUCUUUGGAAUGUGUGACUUCACUGGCUGGAUGGUGACCUGGGGUCUGGUGAUGAAGCAGGGGCUGCAUGAAGAGCUCAGGGUCUGGCAACCAAGAGGAGGCUGAGAGGAAGUGCCUUGGAGGAACUGUGAAACUGGGCAGUGCCAUAUUCUUGUGAAAGUGAGGCAACAUGUCAUACCAGAGUCAGUGAUUUGGAGGGAAAUACUCUGUCUAGCAGUGUGAGUCUGCACAAUUCUAGUGAUCUAUUGAAAUGUGUCAGUAGGUCACCGGGCCACCUGGAAAAGCCCACUGGAGUGCAUUGGGAGAGGUGGGUGCACCUGAGGAAUCAAUUACUUUCAGAGUGCCUUGAAAAAUCACACUGUAAAGUGCAUAGUAGAGAACUCCCCAUUCACAGCAGGAGCCAAUAUACUGAGACAAUUUGUGCCAGCAGUGCUGAGAACAAGGGGGGUCUCCAUAUUCAGUCUCAGAAGUAGAGGCAACUUCUAGAGGCAAAGCAGAAUGAAAGAGUGAUUGACAUGAGUGGCUGUAGGCAGUUAGCACUGACUGCAAUGUCCCUGCUGGAGAGUUCUCUCUUGCCUUCUCACCCCCAGAGCAAGAAAAUAAGACAGUGUUUUUUGUUGACAGCUGCAAGAAAAACAAAAGGCUGGGGGAAAGCUCACUCCCAGCCCUCCUUACCUUCUUCACAAAGGGAGGUCUGGAGCAGGGAGAGCUCAGCAGGGGUGAGGCUGGAGUUUGGGGAGUGUUGGUAGGGCUGGGGGGAGACAACGAGAAGCAAGAACCCACUGUCUCCCUGCCCGGUGCAAACACACACAGACUUAACCCACAGCUGAACUUUUGCCCUUGAGUGAUCAGUGCCAUUAGGACACAGGUCAAAAGGUUGCAGGGUGACAGAAAAUGGAACUUUAUUGAAUGAAAGAGAAAAUGAAAAAAUUCCUUUGUUUGCUUAACUCCGUGUGGUUUGUAUAGCCACUGUGAUCCCAUAAUGGAGUCCAGAGUGAAAAAGUAACUUGAUUUAUCACAUGCAAAGAAAAAAAAAAAAAAAAUAAAAGGAGGAGGGAUUUUACUAAGGGAAUAACUGAAAAAAAACCAGUGAAAGGCUAAAACCCUCAAAUCCCUAAAACAUUAGAAUAAAUGGGACCUUAAUCAAUAAAAGCUCUUUUAUAGGUAUGAGGAAGAGGAAGAUUUUUCAUUCAUUAGGAACAAGCAUAUAUUAAGAGCACGAGUAUAUAUAUCAGUGUACAUGAAGGAUACCAGCCAGGGAUGUUAAAAGAAUAUUCUUCCUGUAUGAGUCAGGAAAAAUGUGUAUAUGAGCAUCUGGCUUAAAAAUAUUUUGUUUUGACAUGUUUGAGUGCCAGACUCAUAGCUCUAUAUGCAUAGUUCACCUGCAUUUAUAUGCAAAUGCAAAACCUAGAUAUUUAAAAUUCUCUUGAGCAAAGGAAACAUCUCUGGAUAAGUAGGCAGAAAAACAGCAGGACUGGUCGGACUCUGUCUAGAAUUGGAAAUUCCAAAUGAACUUAGCUAAAUGUAACCUGAAAUUUUAGCAUGCUUGGCAUGCUCCAAAUGGAUUGGGUUUUUAAUUUCUUGGCGGAAUAGAGUCCAUCAAUUCAGAUAGAGCUGGUUAAAAUCAGAUGCUUUAAAAUGCUGGAUUUUUAAUGAAGUGAUACGUUCUGAUCAGAGUCAAAGAAUUUUAAGGGUUAAUAUGCUAAUUCUGAGUUGUCUCAAAACUGAGAUAGAAAUCAGUGGAGCUAGAGCACAAGAAAUUGAACAAAGUCCAAUGCUAUGCCAGGAAGCAAUAGUCAGGAUAUAUAGAUACUCCAGAAACACUUAAAUUAAAAAAAAAAAAAAAAGUCUUGAAGUGAAUUAAACAUUUCAUGUUCAGUGUUUCAGAGCACAGAGGAGAAGAUCUUGUCCCCUGUGUACAUAAGUAACUGCUGUGGAUGAGAUGAGGGGUACUGCACCCAGUCUGGGCAUAAAUACUGCUUGAGGGGCAUGAGGUAAAAGGCUGCUUGGUAUGAACAGGGUGUCAAAAACAGCCUUCCAGCUGGGACUCUCACUUCUCUGUUACUCUUUCCCCUUCCUUUGCAUUGUCUCCUUCUCUCUCCCUCUCCUUUUCAUCAGUCAGUCCACAACCUGCAGGGCUACAGCAACUACACCUACAUCUCCAGUGUGCUACACAGCCUCUUUUUGAUCCCAGUGAGCAACCAAGCCUCCUGGCCUGACACUUAGCUCUGGAGUGACAUCCUCUGUAGGGUGUGUCUCUAGAGGUCCCCAUUCUAGAAUAUAUUUAUCUCUUACAAAUUCUUUUUUGCAUUGUGUCACAAGCACAGACCUUUUUUUUUCUCAUCCAUAUAGCUAAAACUCCUAUCCAGGGUAGUUUUGGUGUUGCAGCCACGUGUCUAACUUACUGCAGUAUCCUCUGCUUUUGCUCCUGACAACUGCAACGAUGCUUUCAGCAUAUCUGUUUGGACUGCUGCUGUCAAGAUCGUUAUCCCCAUCUGUUGCCCUGAGUCUGUCAUAAGUCUAUCUCUUUGCACUUUCUUCCCUUCUUUACUACAACAAUUGCACCACCUUUCCCUAUUCCCACUUAAAUGACAAUGUAAUCACUACUAAAAGGCUGACAGCUACCUCCAUUAGGAUUGUGUUAUCAAUUUCCAUCCUGUCCUUUCCAAUUUUCAGCUAUGCAUUUUCAAUUUUUCAUCUUUCUUUCCACCUCCAGGAGUGGGAGGAAAUCCCUGCAAAUCUACUUUGUUUCCUGACCCCAAAAAGUGCUGUUGCAGUUUCCUUCAGCUCUCCCAUCAGGCUAUCUAAUUCCAUCUAGUGCAAGCCCUCAGACUCCUGAAAUCUUCCUUUGUUUUGUUCUCAUUGGACACUGACUAAAGCAAUGUGGUCCUCAUUCCUGACUAAGUGUUCCAGUUUGCUUCUGUAAUACAAAAAUUAUUUGUAAUAACUUUCUUGGUCAAAUAAAAAUAAAUAAAGAGUAACUCCAUUGACUCUAAGCAUAGAGAACCCAUGUGUUCAUGGGUAUAAUGAAUAACAAAAAAUAUUUAUCUCAAUUUUAGUUUUCUUGUUCAACUACAGAGACUAAUAAUCACCAUAGACCUCCCCUUACACCCCCCAAGAUUGUAAAAAAUGUGGCUUUAAGAAAAGUAGAAAACCCAAAACAUAUAAUGAAGUUUCACGUGCAAUUUCUUUAAAGAACUUUGAGGCUGUGAACCAAAUGCCUAUGAAAUUCCUUAAAAUGCUACUUAAACAUAAACUUGUUUGUACAUGAAAUCUUGAAGGCACUGUAAGUUUCUACUUUCAUUCCCGCUUUUUUCUUCUCACAAGCAUAGUUAGACAUGUCAUAGCUUACUGGCUUGUAGCUGGUCUCUUUGAAAACAUUUAAAGUUGCUUUUUAGAUUAUGGAAAGAAUAUGAUAGAAGAAUUUAAUAUUUUGUGAAGAAAACUUGGUUGUGGUCUAAAACCUUUUAUGCCAGGAUUCAGUGAAUUUUUACAGCCAAGUUAUGCACUUCCUCUGACAAGUUUUAAUGCUACCAGACAAUUUGGCUACAUGGUAUUGUUAUCAAAAUGCUAAAAGAAAAACUCAACAACUCAUUAUACUGGGGAACUAAUGUCAGUAGACAGUUAUUAUGACUUUUAGUGUUGUUUCUGUUCAGCAGGUAUAUACAUGCUUGAAGAAAAGGAAAAAAGGAUGGUAAUAAAGACCAGAAUUUUUUUUGUGGGUGGGUGAAUGAUUAUUCUUCCACACACUGCCAGAGACAAAAAGUAAUUUGUGAAAGGCAUUGUUUAAAGCAGAGAUAUUUUGGGAGAAAAAGUAUUGUGCAUUGUAUAUGUUAUGUCAAUCUUUAGGGAGGUCAUGUCAGAGUGGUCAGAGAAGUUUUGGGGAAAAAAAAACAACAAAAAGUCCCCCUGCAUUUCAUUAUCUUCAACAACUCACCAGGAAUCUGGUACCUGGAAAGUGUGGGUAUAACAAUUAAGCUUGUCUUUCUCAACCAUUAUAUCUGUUAGGCAUUAUGCAUGGAUCCUUAAAAACAAUGCUGAUUUAUUCUGUACUGUAAUAGGGGGUUUCUGCAGCUAUUACAGAUGAGAGUGUAAAAAAUGUUUAAGAUUUAAGGUGGAAUUCUGAAAGAAACUAACACCUCUGAUUGGUAUGGACAAAGCCUCUGCAGAUGUAUUUUUUAAAGGAGAGAUUUGGAGUACAGUGGCAGUCUAGAUGAUUCAUUUGGGCCAAACAGAUGACAUGUAGACAAGUGAAAUUAAAAGCUAUGAAUCCCACUCACAGAAACUACCUACGUUUGUUUUGGCACUCCUCAUUGCACGUGUAAAGAAUCAUCCUCUGACCACUGCCAGUAGCAUCACAACAUCAGUCACUGUGUUGAAGGCAGAAUGCAUUUUUACAAAAGCAACAAGAUGAUCCCAUUUAAUAUUUAAAAGCUUACCAUAAAAAAAUAUGGCUUACUUGAAAAAAAACCAAAUCCAUGCCUUACACAACAGAGCAGAAAUAGGUUAAUCACUUUUUGGAUAUUUGCAAGUGCCAUGUGCAAUCAGGCCAUAGAAUCUGUGUGAAAACUGCCAGCUUGUUCUGGUGCUGAGAGAGAGGGGCUACUGCUGGGAAAUAACUAAGAUGUCCCCUCAUUUAGCACAGACCACAGAACAGCUGCCGGAUAUGAAUGCCUUUCAGUCACCAUUGAUCAGGAAUCGAUUCGAAUUAGUGACCUAGAAAUAAAAGGCUGCAUAUUAAAGAACAAAUUUCCUAUGCCAUUCUCUCUUCGGUAAUGAGAACAGCAACUGUCUGCCAUGUUUAACAUUCAGCUGUCAAAUACAGAAUAAAUAGAUGACCUCAAAACAUGACAAUAUGAAAAAGAACUCAAAACUUCAGGAUUUUUCCCUUUUAAGUACUUUUUGUGUUUUGUUUUGUUGUGUUUUUUUGGCAGUUUCCUCACUGAAGUUGGCAGUUAGGUGUUUACAAUAUUAGGCAAACGUAGGAAACUAAUAUUUUGUUUUCCACACUUUCUCAUAAAACCUGGCUUUAGAAAUGGUUUUUCAAUCCUAAACUUCUUGUAUUACAUUAAAACCCACAGGGAAGGUGUGCUUUUAAAUGCUAGGCUAAAGCACUCACAAUUUAGAUUCCAGUCCUUGGCUUUGCAAGGACUACCUCCAUGGCCUUGGCAAGCUGCUUGUAUUUUCUCUAUCUCAGAUUCCCAUUUAGAAAUGGAGAAAACGAAUGUUUCCGUGUCCUGGGAAUAUUUUGUAACCUAAGUCACAGGUAACUGAAAGACACUCUGCAAUGCAUAUACAGAUGACCAAUCUGACAAUCUUACUUGGCUCUUUGGAAUAGCUAAUCUUUCCUUUGAAGGCGGCUUUGGAAAUGUAAGGCUGAAAUGGAAGAUUUACGGAUAUAAUUUUCAUGCUUAUUGGUCCUUAGAGAUAAAAACAAACAGUAUUUCCCUCUCCCCAGCCACUGAAGAAAAUGGGUCAAUCGAAAAUUAUCACAGUGACAGGUUUUUCCUUUCAUUAGGAUUACAAAACACUCAGCGUUAGUAAGAAUUGUAGAGAUUUUUCUGACAGAAUUAAUUAUUCUGAAUGAUUAGUUUGUUAUGCUCCUUGCAGGCACCAAGUUUGGAAGAGGAAGUGCUUUGUCUUUCGAUUAAAAAUAUCCAAACAGCUCUGUGGAGUCAUGAUCUGAGAAACCAAAACAAGUCCUUAACCACAGAUAAAUGAAGGUUGGCUGAUCCCAGUUUGUAGAAAGCCAGAGGAAGCCCUCUGCUCUGACCCUGUGCCCUCUGGCAUCACAGCUGGUGCAUGAGCACAAAGACAACUUCAAUGUAGAUGCUGCUGUGGGCACUUUACACAGGCUAGAUUGUAAAUUUGUCCAUUUAUGAGUGUCCUGUGGGGGUUUCCAACUUGGAAGACAAAGCAAGAGCUGAAGUGAACAAAGCAUAUCCAUCAAAGUUCCUCUGAUUGCCACUAUUAAUAAAAUGGAGUCCAUAAACAAAUUUACUGUUUAUUGUUUCUUCAGUGGAAGCAAGAAGCAGGGGAUGCUUCCCUGGGAUUGGAGGAGGUGGGUGUGCUACACAGGGUAAGGGUUCAGGUAAGGUAUGCAUGUGUUGUGAAAAGUAAAUGUGCCUGCUGGAAAUGUUUUCCUUUACACUUCCUACUACUGGGCUGUGGACAGGAAUUUCAUACUACCUGAAAUCCAAAUUGCCUUGGCAGAAGUUUGGAUAGCAUACAUAAAACAGGUAUGUUUGCAUUUCUGGAGCUUUUUUGUAUUGUUUUGUUUGUUCUUUAUAUAAAUUCAGGAAUGGAAGAGUGGUUUUAAACUGUCCUGGUCUGUAUCAGCAUACUCCAAUGAACAUCAAGGUCCACCUCCAGUCUGCAUAUUUUUCAUUUUCAUUGACCUCUUCUAGCAGUAAGGACAGUAUGCUUAUUUUUGAUGCCAAAGGCUAUUAUGAAGCAUUUGAUAUGGUACAAAACUCACAGCAGUUUUAUACAAGUGGCUCAAUUUUGAAGGAAUGAUUGACAGAGAAAGCUACAUUUCUUCCAAAAUGCCAGGCCCAGUGGUUGUUUUCAGUCCUGUGUACAGAGACGGGUUCAGAAAAUGGUCUCACUUCUAAGCUGUAAAAGUUCUUGCCUUUUCCAGGACUCUCCUCUCUGGAUUGCUGCUCAUGGUGAGGAGCUCUGCAAAGUGGGGAACAAAGCUUGGGUGGAGGAGAUAACACAGCAGCCUUCCAGUUGACCUGAAGGAACCAGUUUUGGUCUGACUGUCAUUUGGACAGCCCUUCUGCUGUAGUCUGCCUUGCAUUGCAGGGGCAGAUUCCUGACAGGUGAAGAUGAUAGAUUUAUCACCGUAUUGGAUAUCCCAGAAGGAGUCAGUAGAUUCAUACUGGUGCAUAAAAGGCCACUUGGCUCCCUGGUGCUUCAUCUGUGGAUUGGCUCUUCAGGAGUGGGCAUGGCAAUGAGGCUGCCGAAAGAAAACAGCGGGGAAGAUGACCUUGUCCUCAUCAUGACUAGAAGCCUUCUCUGCCAGACAGGAAUUUCAGCUUUCAAGAGAGGACCAUGCUCUGAAAAAAGAGUAAAUGAUGCCUUUUAUACUGGACAGAUACAAUGGAAAACAUAAACCUCUUAUUGGAGUAAUAAUCAGCAUCUUCAGGAAUCUUUCUGUUGCACUUUUUGGCUGGAAGUAAAUGAAGGUGUUUCCACUUCCAGUGCUUUGCAUGCCAUCUCAAAGAGAUGCUGAGUGAUGCAAUAUACAAAUCUCACUGCUACAGAGACAAUAAAUACUUGAAAGAUAAAUCUGCCACCUAUCAAUACCUUCGAGAAAUGUCAGACUUGGAAGGAAAGCUCCAAAAGGAAAAAAAAUUACCCACAUGCUGACAGAUCGGGCUUUCAUUUCCCAUCGGCUGAUGAGAAAUGAGAUGAAGGUGAUAACUGCUUGAGAGAUGGCUGUCUAUUGAUCCCCUUCCUGAGGAAAGGAAAAUGUAAUGCAUGAUAGUUCCUUACCUUAGUUUGCACUUUUUAGGUACUGGGAGUGUUAAGCAAAGUUUCCACAUGAGCUGAACUGUAGUUCUGGAACCUUGUGGCUCCAUGACAAAUACCUCUGUCUAUACAUUCAAGGAUGGAUUUAGAUCACCUCUUUCAGUCCUGCAAACCUAUCCAUGCCCAUGGUGCCAGCUUCUGUACCACAAUUUCUUGUAUUCACAGUGCAGCUCAACAGCUUCCUGCUUGAGGGACAGCUCAGUAUGACGUUUUCUGAAACCCAUGAAAAAGCUUUGGUGCUACCCUAGACUUUUCUGCAAGGUGUAUUUCUUUGAUAGUAAAUCGAUGUCAAUCUUCUCCACGACGUUCCUCUUGGUUUAUUAUUCAAACCAUUCCAAGAACCUCAGCUGCAUGACUUGGACAUUGUCAAAUGCCCUGUCAAUAAGCCAGGAAGUUUGUUGAGCAUAAAUUAAUUUUUUUUCCAGUCUUAGUUCUGAAAAAAAAAAAUUAAUCUUCUGUUCCCUAGCUCAAAAUCUGCUCAUAAAAUUUCUUCAUGAAAGCUACAUUAUCAUGAUUCAGAAAGAAACUAAUUUUUUUAAAAGAUAUUUCUUAUAAUGCCCUUAAACUAGAAUAGGCCAAACUUAGAAUGAAUUGUUAACUAGACUCUAUUUUACUAAUACGUAUAGUCACAUUGAUUUUAAUGGAACUACACGACUUAGUAAAAUAAGCUAAUUCUCCCUGAGGUAAACCUUUAAAUUAAAAGUUCAUGGAAAUCUUGAUAUGGGGAAACUGUUGAUUGAAUUUGAAAGAUGUAUGUCUGAUUCUGGACUCAUUUUUUUUUCCUCUAAGACUUCAUAUGCUUGUCUACAUAUAUUCUACCCAACAGAGGAGAAAGAGUAACUCAUUAGAAAAAUGAAAUGUCAGUAUACUUUUAUGUUUCUUCUCUUUCCUCUUUAUUUGAAAUAAAUGAUUGUUUUAA
Molecule: long non-coding RNA, 9776 nt
Organism: Haemorhous mexicanus (house finch)
Lineage: Eukaryota; Metazoa; Chordata; Aves; Passeriformes; Fringillidae
Exons: 3
Source: RefSeq, a predicted model, not a curated record